GAUCAACAUGUUUAAUGGUAAAGUUAACAUGCAUUGGAAAGCAGUAAAAACAGUUGCCAUGUUCAAUGACAAAGCACCAACAGCCAUCAACCUUAAGUUGCAUUAAUCAUAACAGAAAGUCGUGAAUAAAGAAUUGGUUAAAUUCUCAUCAUCACCAAAUGUGCAGGAAAUAGACCCUGACCUAUCACAAAGAGUAGCCACAGGACCAAACAAAUGUCAAGAUUUUUAUACUUCUGAAUGUAUUUUAGACAGAUUUAAAAUCCUCCUUCCAUCGCUGUACCUAAAUCUGUCUUUAUUUUCACUUUAACAAAGAUUUUCAUUGUUCUUCUUCAGAUAAACCUAAUUAAUCAGACUAAAUCCUUAAUAGUAUACUUUUCUAUUUUUUUUCUAAUUGCAAGCAAUGAGCUUUCAUGAAUCCUUUCUAUUUUGUUACAAUUGAAAAUGAGCAGGAAGUGAAAUUGUGGAAGCAGCUUUCUUGAGUUUGAAAAAACAGUUUAGUAAAGCUACCAUGAUGCAUGCAUCCAAUAAACCAUGCCCAAUGCAUUAAUGACUAACAUUCAAUGAAAAGAAGAUUAUGCAGAAAAUAU
Long non-coding RNA from Populus euphratica (Euphrates poplar), 587 nucleotides. RefSeq lists it as uncharacterized. The record is from RefSeq and is a predicted model, not a curated record. The transcript is spliced from 2 exons. NCBI's taxonomy places the organism in Eukaryota, Viridiplantae, Streptophyta, Magnoliopsida, Malpighiales, Salicaceae.